UACGGGGGGAGCAAGCGUUGUUCGGAUUUACUGGGCGUAAAGGGCGCGUAGGCGGCGCGACAAGUCACUUGUGAAAUCUCUGGGCUCAACCCAGAACGGUCAAGUGAUACUGUCGUGCUAGAGUGCGGAAGGGGCAACUGGAAUUCUUGGUGUAGCGGUGAAAUGCGUAGAUAUCAAGAGGAACACCUGCGGCGAAGGCGGGUUGCUGGGCCGACACUGACGCUGAGGCGCGAAAGCUAGGGGAGCGAACGGG
RNAcentral lists this ribosomal RNA (253 nucleotides) under uncultured bacterium. RNAcentral describes it as "partial 16S ribosomal RNA". It matches the Rfam family "Bacterial small subunit ribosomal RNA", at positions 524 to 776 of the family's 1533-position model. The record is from RNAcentral.